RNAcentral lists this ribosomal RNA (484 nucleotides) under uncultured bacterium. RNAcentral describes it as "partial 16S ribosomal RNA". It matches the Rfam family "Bacterial small subunit ribosomal RNA", at positions 29 to 507 of the family's 1533-position model. The record is from RNAcentral.
AUUGAACGCUGGCGGCAUGCUUUACACAUGCAAGUCGAACGGCAGCGCGGGCUUCGGCCUGGCGGCGAGUGGCGAACGGGUGAGUAAUACAUCGGAACGUGCCCAGUAGAGGGGGAUAGCACGGCGAAAGCCGGAUUAAUACCGCAUACGACAAGAGGGUGAAAGCGGGGGAUCUUCGGACCUCGCGCUAUUGGAGCGGCCGAUGGCAGAUUAGCUAGUUGGUGGGGUAAAGGCCUACCAAGGCGACGAUCUGUAGCAGGUCUGAGAGGACGACCAGCCACACUGGAACUGAGACACGGCCCAGACUCCUACGGGAGGCAGCAGUGGGGAAUUUUGGACAAUGGGCGAAAGCCUGAUCCAGCAAUGCCGCGUGUGUGAUGAAGGCCUUCGGGUUGUAAAGCACUUUUGGCGGGAACGAAAAGGACUGUGCCAAUACCACGGUUCGAUGACGGUACCCGCAGAAUAAGCACCGGCUAACUACGUG